GACGAACGCUGGCGGCGUGCCUAAUACAUGCAAGUUGAGCGCUGAAGGUUGGUACUUGUACCAACUGGAUGAGCAGCGAACGGGUGAGUAACGCGUGGGGAAUCUGCCUUUGAGCGGGGGACAACAUUUGGAAACGAAUGCUAAUACCGCAUAAAAACUUUAAACACAAGUUUUAAGUUUGAAAGAUGCAAUUGCAUCACUCAAAGAUGAUCCCGCGUUGUAUUAGCUAGUUGGUGAGGUAAAGGCUCACCAAGGCGAUGAUACAUAGCCGACCUGAGAGGGUGAUCGGCCACAUUGGGACUGAGACACGGCCCAAACUCCUACGGGAGGCAGCAGUAGGGAAUCUUCGGCAAUAGGCGAAAGUCUGACCGAGCAACGCCGCGGGAGUGAAGAAGGUUUUCGGAUCGUAAAACUCUGUUGGUAGAGAAGAACGUUGGUGAGAGUGGAAAGCUCAUCAAGUGACGGUAACUACCCAGAAAGGGACGGCUAACUACGUG
RNAcentral lists this ribosomal RNA (497 nucleotides) under uncultured bacterium. RNAcentral describes it as "partial 16S ribosomal RNA". It matches the Rfam family "Bacterial small subunit ribosomal RNA", at positions 28 to 507 of the family's 1533-position model. The record is from RNAcentral.